GAUGGACGCUGGCGGCGUGCCUAAUACAUGCAAGUCAAGCGAACAGACGAGGAGCUUGCUCCUCUGACGUUAGCGGCGGACGGGUGAGUAACACGUGGAUAACCUACCUAUAAGACUGGGAUAACUUCGGGAAACCGGAGCUAAUACCGGAUAAUAUAUUGAACCGCAUGGUUCAAUAGUGAAAGACGGUUUUGCUGUCACUUAUAGAUGGAUCCGCGCCGCAUUAGCUAGUUGGUAAGGUAACGGCUUACCAAGGCGACGAUGCGUAGCCGACCUGAGAGGGUGAUCGGCCACACUGGAACUGAGACACGGUCCAGACUCCUACGGGAGGCAGCAGUAGGGAAUCUUCCGCAAUGGGCGAAAGCCUGACGGAGCAACGCCGCGUGAGUGAUGAAGGUCUUCGGAUCGUAAAACUCUGUUAUUAGGGAAGAACAAAUGUGUAAGUAACUAUGCACGUCUUGACGGUACCUAAUCAGAAAGCCACGGCUAACUACGUG
This 497-nucleotide ribosomal RNA is filed under the name uncultured bacterium. RNAcentral describes it as "partial 16S ribosomal RNA". It matches the Rfam family "Bacterial small subunit ribosomal RNA", at positions 28 to 507 of the family's 1533-position model. The record is from RNAcentral.